This 5329-nucleotide long non-coding RNA is filed under the name Medicago truncatula (barrel medic). RNAcentral describes it as "long non-coding RNA (MTRU_LNC003958)". Lineage: Eukaryota; Viridiplantae; Streptophyta; Magnoliopsida; Fabales; Fabaceae. The record is from RNAcentral.
GCCAACUUUAUCAUGUUGUUAAAUCUUAACUAAAUUUAAUCAAAUUGAUAGGAUUAGUUUCAUCAAGAUUUGGUCCCGUGAAAAGCACAUAGUUUUACGCACUAAUAAAAUUACAGCCGUUGAUAUCAAAUUUGACGGUUUAGAUUACACAUCAAUUUAACACAAUUGAAUGAUUUGAGCUGUUAAUUUAAAUUGGACGGUCCUAAUCUGUUACAUCGUCCGGCUGUAAUAGCAGAAAAUCCAAAUCCCCAUCUUGUACCUAUUCAAACCAUCUUGUACCUAUUCAAACCAUCAUUUUCAUAUUAGAAAAUCUUACUGUCCAUCUUGUACCUAUUCAAACCAUCAUUUUCGAUUCUAAUUUAAAGUCAAUAUUUGCAUUUUUUUUGACUUGUUUUUACAAUCAACAUUGCGACUUUAAGCAGACAAUCAUGAAGACUAAUGCCAAAACAAAUAAAACAUAAAUAAAAAAAAUAAAAAUGUAACGAGCUAGAAGAAAUGCGAAAAAAAUAUCAAUGUGUAUGAAGAGACAAUGUUGUGAUUCUGAAAUAGUGAUAUCAUAUCUAAUUCUACUUCUGAGCUUAUUAAUUAAGGUAACAAAUCCUACAAAAUUAAAAAAAAAUCAAUUUAUUAAACAAUCUAUUGAAAUUAGAAUGUUUUUGUAUGACAUUUCUUUCCGAAUAGACUUGCUACAAAGGAUAAUCUGCGCAAAAGGAAUGUCUUUGAGGCCACUUUUGUGUAUUGUGCGGCUUUGCGUGGUAAGGAGGAUGAAAGGGACCAUCUGUUUUUUCAAUGCGACCACUACGGGCGGCUUUGGCUCUUGAUCUCUCAUUGGUUUGGUAUCGUCACGGUUUUACAUGGUAAUUUACACCCACAUGCUAACCAAUUUUGUCCUCUUGGAGGUUUCUCAAAGAACUCUAGGACGGGCUUUACUGCUAUAUGGAUUUCGACAUUAUUUGUUAUUUGGAAAGAUCGUAACAGGAGAAUAUUUCAAAAUCAAAUUGAUCAUCUUGAUGCUCUUCUUGGGAGGGUUAAACUUCAAAUGUAUUGGUGGUUGAAAGCGAAUUACAUCAUGUUCGACUUUGACUACCUCCAUUGGAAGAAAAACCCCUUAGAUUGUUUACAGACUGUUUUGUAAUGUCUGUUUUUGAAUUUUGGGUUGUUUAUAACCUGUAAGUAUUGUAAUUAACACUUUCCAGCUCCCUUAGGCAUGCCUUGUGCUUUAGGGACUGCUUAUUUAUUUAAUAUAUUUCGUUUAGUUUCUUAAAAAAAAUGUUUUUGAAUAUGUUAAUACUUUUUUAAAAUCACAAAACUUCUUGAUUAAAUACCCGAAAACUUAUUAAGAUUAAGUAAGGGUUUUAAUUGAGUGACUUUUUUUAUUAGAAAAAGUCUUUUAAAUCCUAAUUGAAUACACCCAUAAACCCCUAAAGCAUAUCACUUACUAUUUCAUCAAAAUACUCUUAGAGUGCGUUUGUUUCAAGUUAUCUUUGUAGACUCUUGAGAAUAAAAUGAUCGAAUUAUACAUGCCUAUUUUUGUUAUAAGUUUACUAAAUUUUAUUUCAGGAUAUAAAAUGUUCAUGAGAAUAGAAAAUAAAUUUAAAGAAAAAUGUUAGAAUAAAGUUCCCAUGAAAACGAGAAUAAAUUCUGAAGUAGAUAUAGAAGUCACAAGAAAGGGAGUUUGAAUUAUGACCCUUUUUAAAUUUUAAUCUUGUACUUAAAAAAUACUUCUCAAGUUGAAACUUGGAAGAGCAAAGUUAAAACAUACUUCAUAAUGUUCUGAAGUAUUAGUGUAAAACAAAAUAUCCAAGAUAAAUAAUUUUGUGAGUUCAUCCAACGUGGGCUAGUCCACUCCUCACAAUGUGAGAGUUUUCCACUACGAUGCUUGAGACAACAUUCUCAACUCCUGCACCUUACAACUUUGUUCCCUUGGAACAAUUACAACCUGUAUUCUCUAAGCCUCAGCAUACUCACAACUUUCUUUGCUAAGUCACAAAAGACUUUACACUUUUCUAUUCAACUAACACUUUAAUACCCUUAAAGCUAGAUGAGAUUUUCUCUUGCAAAUGAUUUGGAACUUUGACUGAAUUUGGGCAAGAAGAAGAAGAGGAGAAUAUUAUCUUUAUGACGAUAAGAGAAGACUGUUGCACAUUCUUUAAGAUUUUAGGAAUCUUUAGAGUUGAUUUGCUGCUAUGAAGCUUUAAACACUUUUAAUAAGUUGUUUAAGUAUGCUUGUAAGUUGCGUGCUUCAAUGCUGAGUCUUCUGCCCCUUUUAUAGUUUAUUGACCUCAUGUAGUUAUUAGGAUGUGUCCAAUAGUCUUGUGCCACUUGUAUUGGUACUUAGCAACAUUUGCUUAAAAAACUUGAUCAACAUUCAUAACUUUAGAAUGUUCAAGGUUCAUUAUGUAUGAAUGUUAGCUGAAUUUCUGGGUUUCUUCAUGGGCCUUGUUCUUUGUGUGAACUUCAGAAUGUUCUUGGACUCAUGUAUUUGCAGAUCUGUCUUGGAACUUGUGCAGGAGAGAGGAAAGUGGGAUUGUCACUUCAUUCCCAUGCUUUAGGGGAUUUCACUGGUCUUUUACUAUACCUGCUCCGAUACGUGUCUAACUCUGAUUGAACGAGACUUGAGUUAGCUUUUUGCUUUUGCUCUUACUUUUGUACCAAUUGUACUGUUCUGUCAGAUAGAGCAUGUGCUGAAAAUGAACCUUCUGAACUUCAGAAUGUUCAUCUAUUUCACUUAGGAUGAUUUGUAAGAUUUCUAUUUGAUGUAAUCAAAUCUUAACAGUAAAACAUCAAUGAAGUGCAGUGUGUAUAACAUCUAGGAUGAUAUUCUUAGAGGAAUAUUCCUAAUGUUUUGUACUUCAAUUGUUCAUAAGUCUUUAAUGAACAAUGAAUAUGCCUUUUGACUUUUAUCAAAAUAGAUGUCUUUAACCCUUGAUUGAUCUAAGUUAUAAUAAUUUUUUGGACUUUUAUUUAUGUCACGUGAGCCUUGAAUGUUCUUUAUAAUGUCCAUAUAUUUCUGGGCUUGAUAUUGAUAACUAUAAGAACAACCUUUUGAACUAUCUUGAACCUUCUGAACUAUGUCCAACCUUUUGAACUCUGUUCAACCUUAUGAACUUUAACUUGGUUCAUAAGUCUUAAUGUUCUUUGAUUGCUUGCUUCUUGGUUUGAUUUAUACUAUGUUUCUGUCUUAGUUAAUCAAUCAAGAACACAUAUUAAAUACCAAUAAACUAAUCAAAGUCCAUUAAUCUUUUAAUCAUCAAAGUUUGUUAUCUUUAAAAUCAAUCAGGGAUGUUUGCCAUAACAAAUUAAUUAGGGAUUUUGCCUCAACUACCUAUUAUAAUCUUUAUUUUUAAGGUUCAUGAGAAUAUUAUAAUGUUACCCAAUCAUCUUUUUAUCUAAAUACCUUUGAAUAAAAUUCACAUAUUUAUAAUCCAAGGAAUGUUAUUCCUAAUAAUAAACUUGGUAAACUUGAAACAAACACACCGUUAGGUCAAUACAGGAGAUCAUAUAUUUGUCAAAUCAGGGUAAUAGCUGCUGUAGUCUCUGAACGUGUAACAGUAACCAAAAUAAUCCUCUCAAUGCUCACAUUAACACUUUUUAUAUAGAGAUUUUGUACGACAGUAAAUACUUAUAAUGAUCGAUAUGAUAAUAACUGAGUACAUUAAGGGAUUGAUAUGAUAAUAUUAGCGAGACAUUUUAACAGAAGAGACCAUUUUGACUAAUAUAGUGCACAAUCAAAAACUAUUUUAAAAUUUUGAUACAUUAUUAUAACUACUCCAUCCGUCCCAUAAUAAGUGAGCCAUUUACAAAAAGAAAUAUUAUUCCAAUUUUUUUUUGAUCCACUUUACUUUUCAAUACUAUAUUAGGGGAUCUUGUUAACGAGUGCCCCCGAAACACUCUUUAAACAUCUUAAAUUUAGUAUUUUUCUUUUAAAAAGUCAAUUAUUAUAAUUUCUAAUACAUUCAGUACACAACUUUUCAUUUAAAAAUUUACCAUUUAAAGUGAUUAAAGAGUGCCCGGAGCACUCGUUAACAUUCCCCAAAAAUAAAACCCACCGAGGAAGUACUUGUUUCACAUACAUAUAGUCAAAUUAUAUUAUAGGAAUCUUAUAGUGUGUUUGGAAGGGGAAAUGUUUUGAGGGAAUGUAAUGUUUUGAGGGAAUUCAACUACUUUGAGGUGAAUUCUAUUGUUUGAAUCCACCUCACAAUAAUUGAAUUCCCUCAAAACAUUACAUUACCUCAAAAUAUUCCUCCAUCCAAACACACUCUUAAGAACCAGAGACACAUAGUAAAUUCAUUCACUUGUGUGGUGCACGCGUGUAGUAACAAGUACAAAGUUCGUGCUGGUUCAUUCUUCUGAUUCAUCAAACCCUAAUUUCACAAUUCAAAGUUCUUGCUGCAUUCUUCUCACACAAGGUGAAUCUAUACUAUUCUCUUAAUUAAGAUUUUAUGAUUCUUGAUUUAGCACAAGCACUUAUUAUGGUAAACACUUAUGUAUAAGUUUACAUAAGAUAUUUUUAUAACAAAAGAUAAAAUGUUUUUGUAUAUGCUAAGGGACAAUGCAUAUUAUAUGCAUGGGCCGGGGUUCCAACCCCGAAAACCCCACUUAUUCACUUUAAGGUGAAUUUCUCUAGCCACUAUGCUACUUGACCAAAUAAAAAAGUUGUUUUCAUAAGCUAUAUUGUAGAACUUAUGAAAUUAAGUUGAAAAAAGCUUAUCAAAAGUGUCAUAAGCUGUUUUCACAAGAAGAUAAACUUAAAUAAGCCAAUUCAAACAUGCGUUAUAACUAUUAUGUAAUUUGUUAUCAAGUUUUAAUUUUUGGUAUGAAAACAUGAAUCAUAGCUAUAGUUUUCUUGAUUAGUAAUGUGAACUUUCUCACUGUUGUAAAACAAAUAGGGAAAAAUUGGUAGAUUUUGAGUAAGAUUUCAUGUUAGAUACCUUGGAGAUAAUUUAUUUGAUUUCCUUUGCACUCACCUCCAAUUAUUGUCAAGUUAUAGGAAAUAUGUCUGCUGAAGGGGAUGUUCAUGUUCGUGUUCCUCAUGAAGUACUUUCGCAUGUCAACCAUGAACCCUAAUCUCAUCUUUGUUUAAACCAAGAUAAUUGCCCUCCCGACACGAAAAACAUUGCUGUUUUGUGGAACAAUUAAUUGGUUGAUAACCGCAAACGAACAUUAAGAAAUGUAAAUAAAACAGCAAGAGAAGUUGCAGAGUUAGAAGAUGAGUUAGCAUCCUCAAAUUAUGUUUGCUCGGUAAUCGUUUUGCUGCAGCAUAAUGUAUUGUUUGGUUUGAUGGUACCUCAAGGAGGCAAAAGAAUGCGUAUGCUUUGGCAAAAAGUGC